AAUGAACGCUGGCGGCAGGCCUAACACAUGCAAGUCGAACGAGGUAGCAAUACCUAGUGGCGGACGGGUGAGUAACACGUGGGAACGUACCCUUUGCUACGGAAUAGCCCUGGGAAACUGGGAGUAAUACCGUAUGAGCCCGAGAGGGGAAAGAUUUAUCGGCAAAGGAUCGGCCCGCGUUGGAUUAGGUAGUUGGUGGGGUAAUGGCCUACCAAGCCGACGAUCCAUAGCUGGUUUGAGAGGAUGAUCAGCCACACUGGGACUGAGACACGGCCCAGACUCCUACGGGAGGCAGCAGUGGGGAAUCUUAGACAAUGGGGAAACCCUGAUCUAGCCAUGCCGCGUGAUCGAUGAAGGCCUUAGGGUUGUAAAGAUCUUUCAGGUGGGAAGAUAAUGACUGUACCACCAGAAGAAGCCCCGGCUAACUCCGUGCCAGCAGCCGCGGUAAU
This 449-nucleotide ribosomal RNA is filed under the name uncultured bacterium. Its description in RNAcentral is "bacterial SSU rRNA". It matches the Rfam family "Bacterial small subunit ribosomal RNA", at positions 29 to 524 of the family's 1533-position model. The record is from RNAcentral.